UCAUCCCGCAUCGCCAGUUCUGCU
Molecule: non-coding RNA, 24 nt
Filed under: Arabidopsis thaliana (thale cress)
Lineage: Eukaryota; Viridiplantae; Streptophyta; Magnoliopsida; Brassicales; Brassicaceae
Source: RNAcentral